UGAACCGGAGCGGGAGAGACUCGGCCACAACCCGGACCGAGCGCCGAAGGAGCAACUCUCCCCAGAAUCUCUCAGGCCCUGUACCGCUCCGGUGAG
RNAcentral lists this non-coding RNA (96 nucleotides) under Micromonospora sp. Its description in RNAcentral is "Glycine sequence". It matches the Rfam family "Glycine riboswitch aptamer". From Rfam's summary of the family: This family represents the bacterial glycine riboswitch. RNAcentral also lists the same sequence under 1 other name. Lineage: Bacteria; Bacillati; Actinomycetota; Actinomycetes; Micromonosporales; Micromonosporaceae. The record is from RNAcentral.